AACGCGAAGAACCUUACCUGUGCUUGCCAUAUGCCGGAUCGGCGCAGAGAUGCGUUUUCCCUUGUGGUCGGUAUACAGGUGGUGCAUGGUUGUCGUCAGCUCGUGUCGUGAGAUGUUGGGUUAAGUCCCGCAACGAGCGCAACCCUUGUCUUGUGUUGCCAGCACGUUAUGGUGGGGACUCGCGAGAGACUGCCGGGGUUAACUCGGAGGAAGGUGGGGAUGACGUCAAAUCAUCAUGCCCCUUAUGUCCAGGGCUUCACACAUGCUACAAUGGUCGGUACAGUGGGUUGCUACACCGUGAGGUGGUGCUAAUCCCUUAAAGCCGGUCUCAGUUCGGAUUGGAGUCUGCAACUCGACUCCAUGAAGUCGGAGUCGCUAGUAAUCGCAGAUCAGCAACGCUGCGGUGAAUACGUUCACGG
Molecule: ribosomal RNA, 419 nt
Filed under: uncultured Corynebacterium sp.
Lineage: Bacteria; Bacillati; Actinomycetota; Actinomycetes; Mycobacteriales; Corynebacteriaceae
Description: bacterial SSU rRNA
Rfam family: Bacterial small subunit ribosomal RNA
Source: RNAcentral